CGGAUGGCCAUAGUUUAACCAAAACACUAAGUUGUGGACUUAGAGACAAGAGCGAA
This 56-nucleotide transfer RNA is filed under the name Phyllodactylus magnus. RNAcentral describes it as "partial tRNA-His". The record is from RNAcentral. Lineage: Eukaryota; Metazoa; Chordata; Lepidosauria; Squamata; Phyllodactylidae.